GUGACAACCAUAAACUGUAGCCUACUCCAUGAGGAAAAGGCUGGAUUUCAAAAAUCAAAUGAUCCAAAAUAUAUAGUGGGAGCCCAUUAUACAUUCUUCCCUUGGUAUUCUUUUGACCUGAAAGGCUGGUGGUCUAAUGGCAAAAUAGAAAAAAUAAAUCACCACCACCCACAAAUUCUCACCAAUUAGGAUUGGAAUCGAAUCGAAUAUCAGUAUAUUCAUAUCUAUAUUUAUUUUAUCUAAUAAAUAUAAAUAUA
This 257-nucleotide long non-coding RNA is filed under the name Elaeis guineensis (African oil palm). Its description in RNAcentral is "long non-coding RNA (EGUI_LNC028982)". Lineage: Eukaryota; Viridiplantae; Streptophyta; Magnoliopsida; Arecales; Arecaceae. The record is from RNAcentral.